RNAcentral lists this ribosomal RNA (482 nucleotides) under uncultured bacterium. RNAcentral describes it as "partial 16S ribosomal RNA". It matches the Rfam family "Bacterial small subunit ribosomal RNA", at positions 30 to 507 of the family's 1533-position model. The record is from RNAcentral.
AUUGAACGCUGGCGGCAUGCUUUACACAUGCAAGUCGAACGGUAACGGGCCUUCUGGUGCCGCCGAGUGGCUAACGUGCGGGUAAUACAUCCGUACGUUCCCGGCCGUGGGGUCUAACGUGACGCCAGCUUUCUUAAUCUCCUACACGAUCUUCGUAUUCACGCCGUGGUCCUCAAUGCCUUGCGCGUACGGGUCUGCUGAUGGCUGAUUAGGUAGUUGGUGGGUUAAAAGCUUACCAAGCCGACGACCUGUAGCUGGUCUGAGAGGAUGAUAAGCCACACUGGGACGGAGACACGGCCAAGACUCCUAAGGGAGGCAACAGUGGGGAAUUUUGGACAAAGGGCGCAAGCCUGAUCCAGCCAGGCCGCGUGCAGGAUGAAGGCCUUCGGGUUGUAAACUGCGUUUGUACGGAACGAAAAGCCUUCUUUUAAUAAAGGAGGGUCAUGACGGUACCGUAAGAAAAAGCACCGGCUAACUACGUG